UAAAGAGGCAGUGGACCCUGGAGCCCUUGCCCAGCUCUGGCAUGCCUUUCUUCUUCUUCUCUCUUUCCAGCUUCAUUUCGGUGUCAUUGACCCAUAACACCGGGUAAAUUUAAGGUGAACCCCGUGUCGAUCCCGUGUUGAUUCACCAGAGGAGCCUGAAGGGCCACAGUUCUGGGGUCGCCAAGAGUCGGACAUGACUGCGUGACUUUCGUGUGUUGAUUGGAUAUACUUAUAGAUCUCAAAAUGAUUGCCACCAGAGGCUCAGCUCGCACCUCCAGUGGAGGCCUUUCUUCUGUCUCAUCAUUCUUUCUGGUUGUUGUUUUUCCCUCUUUGGUCGCUUGGAGUGGCAUUCGGGAUCUUAGUUCCCCAGGGAUCAAAUCCAUACCUUCUGUGGUGCAAGUGUGGAGUCUUAGCCACUGGACUGCCAGGCAAGUCCCUUCCCCAUCAUUCUUAGGGAUUCUGGAAGACUCUUCAGCAGAAGGAAGCACCCAGAUUCCGAAGGUCUUGUUUCAGGGACACUGAGAACGUGAAGCCCACCCUGACCUCCUCUGGCUCUUGAGGUGACCUGGACUUCCUCUGUCGAAGAAUGUUGCCUCUUUCACGUGCUAAUCUCCCAUUCCAAGCUGGACCCCCUGACUGGGACCCCAAAGAGGGCUGUAUCUCCAGAGGCCGGCAAGAACCCAGCACAGGGCAGCCAUGGGGGCCAGGUGUUGGGUGAAUGAUAUCACUGAGCACCUGUUGCGUGCCGAACCCUUCACACACGAGUCCGGCGUUUAACAUCUUUCUUCUGGAAUGCUGGCUUUGCCAAGACUAGUGCAUAGCAAGCACUCCAGGAUUACGUGAUGGAAGUGCUGAGAUGAACUGUCACUCAGAGGAAAGAAGACUUCCUGAGGACGGGGCCUUAGCAGACUGAGCUCAUGAGACAGUAAAAAUAAGAAGAAAAUAAUAAUUGUCACUAUUUAUUAUGAUCCGGGAUCAUUAUUUAUUAUCAUUAUUUAUUAUGAUCCCAGAUCGUAAUAAAUGGUUCAUCUUCCCAGGGGGUUAGUACUGCUCUUGUGCCCAUCUCACAGAUGGGGGAACUGAGGCACAGAGAAGUAAAAGUAGAAACCCCAAGUCACACAGUCAGUGAGUGGCAGAGCCAGGAUUAGACCAACGCUGUUUGUCUGAGGAGACUGUCCUGAGCUUAUUACAACACACCUUCCAAAAAGAGAAGUGCUGAUGGCUGUACCCAUUUUGCAGAUGAGGAAGCAGAGGUUCUGAGAAGCGAAAGGGCUGGCCCGUGUCUGGAAGCAGAGAUGGUGGCUCAGCUGGAGACGCCCAAGGGAGCGCCCCAGCCUCCUGGGUUAGUGCUCUAAAGGAGGGGGGAGCUGUCCCCUGCCUGUUCUUGUGUCUGGCCAAUACCCCAGCCUCUGUUUACCCAGCCCAACACCCAAGAGCUGCCUCUUCCGCCUGCCCUGGAGUCUCGGGUGCCUUCACAAUAGGAUGCUCUGUCUGUGCAGCUGGUUUUCAUUCAAGCCC
Molecule: long non-coding RNA, 1518 nt
Organism: Bos taurus (domestic cattle)
Lineage: Eukaryota; Metazoa; Chordata; Mammalia; Artiodactyla; Bovidae
Source: Ensembl